Molecule: long non-coding RNA, 250 nt
Filed under: Phoenix dactylifera (date palm)
Lineage: Eukaryota; Viridiplantae; Streptophyta; Magnoliopsida; Arecales; Arecaceae
Description: long non-coding RNA (PDAC_LNC014037)
Source: RNAcentral
UCACCUAAAGCUUCCUCCUCUUUCUCAAUUUGUUCACAAGCAUCAGCUCGAUCCUCUGCACCCUCCCCAUUUGCUCUAUCCUUACCAAACACAAUUGACAAGUCUUCAUAAUAAGGGAAAGGCUUGUUUCUCAGGCCAGCUACAUGGGGAUGACUCUGUCAACACAAAACAAAAAUUAUUAAUAAUUUUAGAAAUACAAACAAGUGAAGAAUUAUAUUGAAAAGGCAUAAGUUGAAAGCAAACUUAGAAA